Molecule: ribosomal RNA, 253 nt
Filed under: uncultured bacterium
Lineage: Bacteria
Description: partial 16S ribosomal RNA
Rfam family: Bacterial small subunit ribosomal RNA
Source: RNAcentral
UACAGAGGUCCCAAGCGUUGUUCGGAUUCAUUGGGCGUAAAGGGUGCGUAGGCGGCGCGGUAAGUCGGGUGUGAAAUCUCGGGGCUUAACUCCGAAACUGCAUUCGAUACUGCCGUGCUUGAGGACUGGAGAGGAGACUGGAAUUUACGGUGUAGCGGUGAAAUGCGUAGAUAUCGUAAGGAAGACCAGUGGCGAAGGCGGGUCUCCGGACAGUUCCUGACGCUGAGGCACGAAGGCCAGGGGAGCAAACGGG